AUCACUUGUCCUUUUGGCUAAGGUGAAGUGGGUUAUCGGUUCUUAUCAGUGUAAUAUCACACACAUCCUCUCUCUGAGGACAGGACAGUCAAAACAGACGUUUGGAGCUGGGAGGCAGAAUGAGAGCUUGCACUGUCCACCCACUGCAUGCAGCGAUCUGCUAUUGCGGCACCUCCAGCAAUGGUGCACCCCAC
Molecule: small nuclear RNA, 194 nt
Organism: Peromyscus maniculatus bairdii (prairie deer mouse)
Lineage: Eukaryota; Metazoa; Chordata; Mammalia; Rodentia; Cricetidae
Gene: U2
Rfam family: U2 spliceosomal RNA
About the family: U2 is a small nuclear RNA (snRNA) component of the spliceosome (involved in pre-mRNA splicing). Complementary binding between U2 snRNA (in an area lying towards the 5' end but 3' to hairpin I) and the branchpoint sequence (BPS) of the intron results the bulging out of an unpaired adenosine, on the BPS, which initiates a nucleophilic attack at the intronic 5' splice site, thus starting the first of two transesterification reactions that mediate splicing.
Source: Ensembl